AUGCAGGUUUGCUAGGAUCUGAAGCCCUUGUAAGCAAUUCAUUUAGCAACAGAAUGAAUCGCAACAACUCCUGAAACAAUGCGUGAUAAAAACAGUAUAACGUGGUCUAAAGCAAUGGAAAAAAGGCAGUUGUACCAAGGGUAAGAUGGUCAAUUUUAUAACUCAGAAGGGCAGAGUACAGCCAUCGAGUAAAACAGAGGAGUGUUCAGAAUUGCCUCUAAAACAGCCUAUGAUAAGAAGGCAUUUGACAUGAAAUGACAGUAAAUAGAUAAGGAUUCUGCCUCCUUACUGAACCCUCUGAGUCACAGCCUAAAUAACCAAUAAUAAAAGUGCAAAUGGCAUUAAAUGAGUGGAUGACGAACAGCUACAUGGCCUCUAGUGCAACCCCUACGGAAGAAGCUAAUAGCUGACUGUACCUUACUCCAAAAGACACCUUUUCAAUUAGCUAAUAUUUGUAAUUUGUAAUUAAACUUAGUUGUGACCGUAGAUGCUUCAUAAAGCUGAAGUCCAUUUUACUGUUGAAUGUACAGUAAAAUGGCUUCAGUUUUGUAAUAGAUAUAUUGAUUAUCA
Long non-coding RNA from Mercurialis annua (annual mercury), 570 nucleotides. RefSeq lists it as uncharacterized. NCBI's taxonomy places the organism in Eukaryota, Viridiplantae, Streptophyta, Magnoliopsida, Malpighiales, Euphorbiaceae. The transcript has 2 exons. The record is from RefSeq and is a predicted model, not a curated record.